AGGGCACCACCAGGAGUGGAGCCUGCGGCUUAAUUUGACUCAACACGGGAAAACUCACCCGGCCCGGACACUGGAAGGAUUGACAGAUUGAGAGCUCUUUCUUGAUUCAGUGGGUGGUGGUGCAUGGCCGUUCUUAGUCGGUGGAGUGAUUUGUCUGGUUAAUUCCGAUAACGAACGAGACUCUAGCCUACUAAAUAGAUCGUCGGCUUACAAACGCCGGCGAGACUUCUUAGAGGGACAGGCGGUGAUUCAACCGCACGAAACAGAGCAAUAACAGGUCUGUGAUGCCCUUAGAUGUCCGGGGCCGCACGCGCGCUACACUGAAGUGAUCAGCGUGCUUUUUCAACCUACUCUGUCAAGAGUGGGGAACCCAAUGAACCUUCUUCGUGAUUGGGAUAGGGGAUUGUAAUUAUUCCCCUUGAACGAGGAAUUCCCAGUAAGCGCGAGUCAUAAGCUCGCGUUGAUUACGUCCCUGCCCUUUGUACACACCGCCCGUCGCUACUACCGAUUGAAUGUUUU
This 519-nucleotide ribosomal RNA is filed under the name uncultured eukaryote. RNAcentral's name for it is "SSU rRNA". It matches the Rfam family "Eukaryotic small subunit ribosomal RNA", at positions 1161 to 1699 of the family's 1831-position model. The record is from RNAcentral.